RNAcentral lists this ribosomal RNA (332 nucleotides) under uncultured bacterium. Its description in RNAcentral is "bacterial SSU rRNA". It matches the Rfam family "Bacterial small subunit ribosomal RNA", at positions 568 to 898 of the family's 1533-position model. The record is from RNAcentral.
CGUGCAGGCGGUUUGGUAAGUUGGAUGUGAAAGCUCCCGGCUCAACUGGGAGAGGCCGUUCAAAACUACCAGACUAGAGGACGGUAGAGGGAGGUAGAAUUCCCGGUGUAGUAGUGAAAUGCGUAGAUAUCGGGAGGAAUACCAGUGGCGAAGGCGGCCUCCUGGACCGUUCCUGACGCUCAGACGCGAAAGCUAGGGGAGCGAACGGGAUUAGAAACCCCGGUAGUCCUAGCUGUAAACGAUGCAAACUUGGUGUUGGUGGGGUAAAAUCCGCCGGUGCCGAAGCUAACGCGAUAAGUUUGCCGCCUGGGGACUACGGCCGCAAGGUUAAA